UGCUACUGGCGCCGUGCAGGUGAGGGCCAGGAGCGCCGCCACGUGCCCGCAAAGCACAGACACCCUGCAGCAAAGGGUUAUCUGGCCCAAGUGUCAGCAGUGCCGCAGGGGAGAACACCCGCCAUGCACACGUCUCCAGCAGGGCCGGGGGGCCCCCGGGCUGCCGUUAGCGCUGGGAACCGGGGGCACCGUAUCCACGUGAUGGAGAAGACUGUGGGCCAGCGGGUGACCCUGCUGGCGGGACCUGAGGCCAAGGGGGCUUGGGGGCAAACCUGGAAGCUGUCUGUGGUGGACGAGCUGGCACAGACGGGCGACCAGCACGUAGCCGUCCUCUGCCCAGUCCGCUCUCCACCUGGCGGCACACAUGGGACACACGGGGGCAGCGCUCGGGUGCCUGUGAGCCCGGGCCACCCUCUGAGGACCUGUGCCCCAGCUGUGCUGGGUCGUGACUGGGGACACAGGGGCGACCUCCCAGCCCGGUGCCCCACCCAGUGUCAGAGCUGCUCACCACAGCCUGGGGCCGUGGCAGGCUGAGACAGGGGCGCCUGGCCUUUUGCCUGCCGGGAGUCGCCCCCUUCCUGGCGGGGGCCUGGUCCGGCACCCUCCUCAUGCAGAAUGAACGCAGGAAGCAGGCCCUGGGUCUGCUGAGCGGGCUGGGCCGUGGAGCUGCCCCAGAGAUCAGACCAGGCCCCGCCCGGCGGAACCCGCAUUUAACCAGACCCGGGAGCACACACGCGUGGCCGUGGGAAGCCCGGCGCCUGGCUCCGCCCCCUCUGCCCCUCGUCAGGGGGAACCUGAGGCUGGAAGCGGGCACCCAGAGCACUUACAGCCCUCCUGUGUCUGCAACUUGACAGCUGCCCUGGACCUCGAGCCACUGCGUCCCUCUCCUGAAACGCCCAGGCCGCCUCUGCUGAGGGCCUCGGAGAAACGGCAGCCCCACCUUCCCUUCCGUGCCUGACGUCCCCACGAGCAGACGUACGCCAGGCAAGGGAAGGUGGCCAAAGGACAGGUUCUGUGUCUAAUUCUAUGUGUUUCUUUUACUGUAAGCAGCAGAAGCUGGCGAGGGUGUGUGUUGAGGUCAAGGGCAGGCAGUGUGGGUAGAGGCUAGGGUGGCUGUGAGGCUGAGCAAGGGACCUGGGCUCCCUCCCGCUAAGCUGAGCUAGCCAUGGCUCCAGCUCGCCCAUGGGUGGCACCCCGGGGAGUCAGCGGCAGGGGCCUGCCGUUGGCUGGGUGGUCACCGGUCCUCACAGCUUGGCGGACUCCCUGGUCGUGCCCUUGUCCCUGAAGGUGGUGGCGGCUUUGUGGUGGGUCUGCAGUGGCUCGUCUCCCCCUCUCCCCUCCUUCUACUUGCAGAGUAGUGGCUGUGCAGACUCUGGAACUGCACUUAGAAAGCUAUUAGCUUUUCUAAACGUCUUUGUCUUCGUUCAUGGCUGAGGAAUCAAUCUUCCACGUUUAGACACCUCAACUCUGAAUUUAUUUCCAACGAUAUCUGAAAAUACACACUAAAAAUUAAUUCACACUUUAAGGUCAUGAUUUUGGCCAAU
Orcinus orca (killer whale) is the source of this 1544-nucleotide long non-coding RNA. RefSeq lists it as uncharacterized. The transcript has 2 exons. NCBI's taxonomy places the organism in Eukaryota, Metazoa, Chordata, Mammalia, Artiodactyla, Delphinidae. The record is from RefSeq and is a predicted model, not a curated record.